AUUGAACGCUGGCGGCAGGCUUAACACAUACAAGUCGAGCGGAGCGAGGGUGCUUGCACCUUAGCUUAGCGGCGGACGGGUGAGUAAUGCUUAGGAGUCUGCCUAUUAGUGGGGGACAACAUUCCGAAAGGAAUGCUAAUACCGCAUACGCGCUACGGGGGAAAGCAGGGGAUCUUCGGACCUUGCGCUAAUAGAUGAGCCUAAGUCGGAUUAGCUAGUUGGUGGGGUAAAGGCCUACCAAGGCGACGAUCUGUAGCGGGUCUGAGAGGAUGAUCCGCCACACUGGGACUGAGACACGGCCCAGACUCCUACGGGAGGCAGCAGUGGGGAAUAUUGGACAAUGGGCGGAAGCCUGAUCCAGCCAUGCCGCGUGUGUGAAGAAGGCCUUUUGGUUGUAAAGCACUUUAAGCGAGGAGGAGGCUACUUAGAUUAAUACUCUGGGAUAGUGGACGUUACUCGCAGAAUAAGCACCGGCUAACUCUGUGCCAGCCGCCGCGGUAA
Molecule: ribosomal RNA, 501 nt
Filed under: uncultured bacterium
Lineage: Bacteria
Description: partial 16S ribosomal RNA
Rfam family: Bacterial small subunit ribosomal RNA
Source: RNAcentral